RNAcentral lists this ribosomal RNA (558 nucleotides) under Triticum aestivum (bread wheat). Its description in RNAcentral is "partial small subunit ribosomal RNA". Lineage: Eukaryota; Viridiplantae; Streptophyta; Magnoliopsida; Poales; Poaceae. The record is from RNAcentral.
CAGCCACCACAUCAGCCCCGACAGGUACGCCUCGCGAUUAUCCAUUCGUCUUCACCUCCACCUCGUUCUAUUCUGUCGCUCCACCUCUCUCAUCCCUAUCUACAACACAGGCGUUCCGGCACCAGCACCCCAUCUCCCUCAUCGCGGUGCUCGGGAGGUUCGGCGGCGCGUCGCUCGAUGGCCUCCGGCCCCGCUCCUCCUUCCUUUUGCUUCCCCGCCUCUGACCUCCACUGGGGAGGAGCGCAGCCCAAGUUUCCCCGCCGUCGGGUUCCGGUGAGGGCCCUCUCCGCUCUCCGCUCUGCUGGCGGCGACCCACCCGUUGUCGGGGCUUCUUUUCCUCUCCGCUCUCCGGCAGUCGCAAGCUCGUCCGGAUCCCCCCGCUGUCAACGCUGGAUGUGCCAAACCUGUUCUAUUUAGUCGAUAGAUGCCUUCUAUUUAGUCGAUAGAUGCCCUCAAGCCGGUUCUCUCUUUCGUUAAUUUCUUCCUUGAUUCUUAAGGCGGCUUGUUGCUUUCAGAUUGCCCACACAUAUAUAUAUAUAUAUAUAUAUAUAUAUAUAU